AGAUUGAACGCUGGCGGCAGGCCUAACACAUGCAAGUCGAGCGGCAGCACGGGUACUUGUACCUGGUGGCGAGCGGCGGACGGGUGAGUAAUGCCUAGGAAUCUGCCUGAUAGUGGGGGAUAACGCUCGGAAACGGACGCUAAUACCGCAUACGUCCUACGGGAGAAAGCAGGGGACCUUCGGGCCUUGCGCUAUCAGAUGAGCCUAGGUCGGAUUAGCUAGUUGGUGAGGUAAUGGCUCACCAAGGCGACGAUCCGCAACUGGUCUGAGAGAUGAUCAGUCACACUGGAACUGAGACACGGUCAGACUCGUACGGGAGCAGCA
This 324-nucleotide ribosomal RNA is filed under the name uncultured soil bacterium. RNAcentral's name for it is "bacterial SSU rRNA". It matches the Rfam family "Bacterial small subunit ribosomal RNA", at positions 26 to 353 of the family's 1533-position model. The record is from RNAcentral.